CGCACAGAUUAAUGCAAUCAAUGUCGUUAUCCAGUUACUGUUUAGAAAUUUGUCUCAGUGGUCUGAGAAAAACCACGAGAACACACCCCACAUUUAACGUUUUCAUUCAUUUAAUUCUGAUGCAGUUUUCGCAUCGUUCUUUACAACACGGAUACGAGUGCACAGUUUAUUUUUAAACUUGAUUUCCGAGCAAUCUGUUUUUGUUGUUUCAUUUACUACAACAGAACUGCACCGCCUAUGAACAGAUUCAAGAAGACGUAAUCGAUUGGUGUAUCUCUGUGACGCGCUUGGAAAUAACAAAUUGCGAUUGGUAGGAGUGACAUCUAUCGGAGAGGAGACAUAUUACCUUGACCUUGACAGCCCUUCGGUUAGUUCUUCGUCUGGAGGGAGUCAGCAUGUAGCCUACUGUGUGUUGGUCCUAUUUAAUAUUGCGUGUAUUUUAAGGGAGGAAUGCAAUAUCGUACACGGCGGAUUGGUCCACAUGCAAUUUGUCUAAAUGUUAAAUGCAGUAAAAAUUGGCCAGUUUGUCCAAACGUUGAGAAGAGGAACACAUACACACGUACACGAAGCACGUUGAUCUCACAAGCCUCUAUUUUCUCUUUAGUUAAGCAGGAAAUGAGCUCUAAAAUGUAAAAUAAAAAACCAGACAGGAGGCUACAAGCUAAAUAUACUUCAUACGGAAUUUUAAAUUCGUGUGUUAUUUAUGUGAGUGAUGGAAUUCUGUGCGUGAAAUGGGUUUCUGUUAAUAUUAUUGGACAAUUUAAAAAUGUUUGUGUAAUCCGACGACCUUUUAUGCUGUGAAGACAAACUUCAAAAUUUUAAAGAAUUCUGUCACAGAAUCAGUGGACAGGUGUUGCAAUAACGCGUUUAAAAUAUGCAGUGUGUGUUUAUUUUGUGACUGAAUCGAUUUAAUAAUAUUUGCGAUUAACGUUUUAAAGUGAACAACUUGAGUAGAGACCAAAAUAUUGACAGCUUCGAUCCAGAUGCAAAUGGGAGGAGCAACGUGCAAGGAGAUGCUAUUUUUGGAUGAUGACUACGUCAUUGCAUGCGAGAUGGUACCUGAUCUGGUUGCAGUAUAAACUGGAGGUUUUCAUUUAUUUCGGAACUCUAGCAGACGUCAAUAAAACUGGUCACGCAAGAGAAAAGAAGACUUUCACGGAAGGCACCGCUGUCUGAAGGGAUUGGACAAUUCCCUAUUCAGUCGCGGCGUUGAUCAACCAGCCUGAACUAGACCCGGUGUUAUCGUCCCUUGCACUGUACCUGAUAUGGAGGUCUGUAGCCGAAGAGUGUGGGAGGCCCGUGGACCUGACCUGC
This is a long non-coding RNA of Zootermopsis nevadensis, 1314 nucleotides long. RefSeq lists it as uncharacterized. Lineage: Eukaryota; Metazoa; Arthropoda; Insecta; Blattodea; Termopsidae. The record is from RefSeq and is a predicted model, not a curated record.